Molecule: ribosomal RNA, 441 nt
Filed under: uncultured bacterium
Lineage: Bacteria
Description: partial 16S ribosomal RNA
Rfam family: Bacterial small subunit ribosomal RNA
Source: RNAcentral
ACUACGGGAGGCAGCAGUGGGGAAUAUUGCACAAUGGGGGAAACCCUGAUGCAGCGACGCCGCGUGAGUGAAGAAGUAUUUCGGUAUGUAAAGCUCUAUCAGCAGGGAAGAAGAAAGACGGUACCUGACUAAGAAGCCCCGGCAAACUACGUGCCAGCAGCCGCGGUAAUACGUAGGGGGCAAGCGUUAUCCUGAUUUACUGGGUGUAAAGGGAGCGUAGACGGCUGUGCAAGUCUGAGGUGAAAGCCCAGGGCUGAACCCUGGGACUGCUUUGGAAACUGUGGAGCUAGAGUGCUGGAGAGGUAAGUGGAAUUCCUAGUGUAGCGGUGAAAUGCGUAGAUAUUAGGAGGAACACCAGUGGCGAAGGCGGCUUACUGGACAGUAACUGACGUUGAGGCUCGAAAGCGUGGGGAGCAAACAGGAUUAGAUACCCUAGUAGUC